UUGAUUUGUUGAGGGCAGAUAAAAUGAAUGUGGGCGUCAAUCCCACCAGCGGUAACAAUCAUUCCCUCACCAGCAAUAACCUCUGUUCCAGCACCCACAAUCAUCUCUGCACCGACACCGUCCAUCAGAUUUGGAUUUCCCGAUUUUCCUAUGCCGAUAAUCCUGCCAUCACGGACACCAAUAUCAGCUUUAACAAUCCCCCAAUGAUCCAGAAUCAGGGCAUUGGUAAUUACCAGAUCCAACGCACCGUCAGACCGAGUGGCAUUUGGCGAUUGUCCCAUGCCAUCACG
This 290-nucleotide small RNA is filed under the name marine eukaryotic metagenome. Its description in RNAcentral is "5' ureB small RNA". It matches the Rfam family "5' ureB small RNA". The record is from RNAcentral.